This 774-nucleotide ribosomal RNA is filed under the name Bacillus thuringiensis. Its description in RNAcentral is "bacterial SSU rRNA". It matches the Rfam family "Bacterial small subunit ribosomal RNA", at positions 57 to 807 of the family's 1533-position model. The record is from RNAcentral. Lineage: Bacteria; Bacillati; Bacillota; Bacilli; Caryophanales; Bacillaceae.
GCAAGUCGAGCGAAUGGAUUAAGAGCUUGCUCUUAUGAAGUUAGCGGCGGACGGGUGAGUAACACGUGGGUAACCUGCCCAUAAGACUGGGAUAACUCCGGGAAACCGGGGCUAAUACCGGAUAACAUUUUGAACNGCAUGGUUCGAAAUUGAAAGGCGGCUUCGGCUGUCACUUAUGGAUGGACCCGCGUCGCAUUAGCUAGUUGGUGAGGUAACCGGCUCACCAAGGCAACGAUGCCGUAGCCCGACCUGAGAGGGUGAUCGGCCACACUUGGGACUGAGACACGGCCCAGACUCCUACGGGGAGGCAGCAGUAGGGAAUCUUCCGCAAUGGACGAAAGUCUGACGGAGCAACGCCGCGUGAGUGAUGAAGGCUUUCGGGUCGUAAAACUCUGUUGUUAGGGAAGAACAAGUGCUAGUUGAAUAAGCUGGCACCUUGACGGUACCUAACCAGAAAGCCACGGCUAACUACGUGCCAGCAGCCGCGGUAAUACGUAGGUGGCAAGCGUUAUCCGGAAUUAUUGGGCGUAAAGCGCGCGCAGGUGGUUUCUUAAGUCUGAUGUGAAAGCCCACGGCUCAACCGUGGAGGGUCAUUGGAAACUGGGAGACUUGAGUGCAGAAAAGAAGUGGAAUUCCAUGUGUAGCGGUGAAAUGCGUAGAGAUAUGGAGGAACACCAGUGGCGAAGGCGACUUUUCUGGUCUGUAACUGACACUGAGGCGCGAAAGCGUGGGGGGCAAACAGGAUUAGAUACCCUGGUAGUCCACGCCGUAAAC